UGGAAAUGUACAAUGGUAAAGGAACUAUUAAUAUGUUUUAAAUAUUAACUUAAGAAUAAAAUCAACAUUUGCUCUUGUUUUGACCAGAAGUCUGUCAGUGUCUUUUGUGAUUUAGUCACUAUAACUGGUUUCAAAGUACUGUAUAUAAAAAAAGAUCCCAACAAUAAAGUGCUAUGAUUUCUUAAAAUGCAAAGACAAAAUUCACCACAAACCGUAAUAAAAACAAAAUGGAAGAACCAAUAAAUACACAACAGAAUGGAAAAACCAGGACAAAAACAACAAACAUCACAGAUUGACUCUUUAAAUGGAAAUAUGCUAUUGUUAAUCCUAAUAUUAGCAGGAUUACUGACAUCUUCAGACCGAACAGAGCAAAUACAGUCGCAAACCCCACUGAGAGUGUCACUCCAGCUGAACAAAACAAGAAAAAAAUAAGUACAAAGAAUAAAACUAACUGCAAAGGUGUCUGAACAUACCUUUGAUCCGGUACAGUGAAAUGAAGGGUUAAUAAAUAAGCCCCAAAUGUGAUCCCAGGGGCAGCACGGCAAGCUAUGAGCACAUCUGACCACGUCUGUACGCUGACCGCUGUUCCUACAGUCAGUCCUAGACCUAAUAUAAACACUGUACUAGAAUAUGAAAGUAAAAUCACUAAAGCUUUUAAUAUUUUAUGUUCAUGCAAUAAAUUUGCUAAGUAAGCUAAUGAAACUGCAAUAGUAAAUGUUGAGGAUAGAAUCAAAUUUAUUGGUACAGCAACAUUUGGACUCAUAUUAUUUCUCAAUGUGACCAUGAAGAUAACAAGUAUGCAUAUUAUUGCUCCAAAAUUACAAAGUUCAUGCUUUCCUUUAGUGAAAAUAACAACAGCGUUCAGUACAAUGAAGAAAAUCCAUCCUACAAUUCCAACAACUCCUCCGAAAGUGUCAUAUAUUACAGGCAAGACUGGAUAUUCUUCAUUUACAUUCUGAGUGGUCUCUUCUUGAAGUUUGUUCUCUAUUUCUUGAAGUGUUUGUAAAAGUUCCAGCAUUUCUGUUUCUAAUUCUUGUCUCAAUACUGAGUGAAAUCUGUGAUCAUUGAGCCAAACUAACUUCUCUAUUUCUGUUAUAAGAGUUGUUCUUUGAGCAGGUUUUGGUUCAGAGUCUCUUAUGAUGUGAAAUCUUCCUCCACAUGCGUUGAUCAUUUCUCCAGCAAUCCCUCUGGAGGCUCCUGUCAAAGGUUCCUGGUGAUUUUGGAGCAGAAGAACAAUGCAGUACUGCAGGACUUCUGCUCCCAGCAGCUCCUGGGCUCGUUUCUCAAUAUCACACUGUUGUGAUUGUUGAUCUUCCAGAUUCAGGACCAUUAGAACGGCGUGAGGUCCAGGAGACGAGAGAAACAGCGCUGUUGUGAAGAAGAUCUACAGCACUGAAUCUGGACUGACCUCUGACUCCCACAACCAGGAUCCUCAGAGCCUUAUCACCAGAAGCUGGAAGUGAAAGUGAAACCGUCAUUGUAAGUGGGGUAA
This is a long non-coding RNA of Cyprinus carpio carpio, 1492 nucleotides long. NCBI's taxonomy places the organism in Eukaryota, Metazoa, Chordata, Actinopteri, Cypriniformes, Cyprinidae. The record is from Ensembl.